Molecule: ribosomal RNA, 497 nt
Filed under: uncultured bacterium
Lineage: Bacteria
Description: partial 16S ribosomal RNA
Rfam family: Bacterial small subunit ribosomal RNA
Source: RNAcentral
GAUGAACGCUGGCGGCGUGCCUAAUACAUGCAAGUCGAGCGAACAGACGAGGAGCUUGCUCCUCUGACGUUAGCGGCGGACGGGUGAGUAACACGUGGAUAACCUACCUAUAAGACUGGGAUAACUUCGGGAAACCGGAGCUAAUACCGGAUAAUAUAUUGAACCGCAUGGUUCAAUAGUGAAAGACGGUUUUGCUGACACUUAUAGAUGGAUCCGCACCGCAUUAGCUAGUUGGUAAGGUAACGGCUUACCAAGGCAACGAUGCGUAGCCGACCUGAGAGAGUGAUCGGCCACACUGGAACUGAGACACGGUCCAGACUCCUACGGGAGGCAGCAGUAGGGAAUCUUCCGCAAUGGGCGAAAGCCUGACGGAGCAACGCCGCGUGAGUGAUGAAGGUCUUCGGAUCGUAAAACUCUGUUAUUAGGGAAGAACAAAUGUGUAAGUAACUAUGCACGUCUUGACGGUACCUAAUCAGAAAGCCACGGCUAACUACGUG